RNAcentral lists this long non-coding RNA (535 nucleotides) under Bemisia tabaci. RNAcentral describes it as "lncRNA ENSSSA3NGG002685". Lineage: Eukaryota; Metazoa; Arthropoda; Insecta; Hemiptera; Aleyrodidae. The record is from RNAcentral.
CCCCCAUUUUUUCUUCAAAUUCCGAGCUGCACGGGGACCCUGAGGGCCGACCGUGAGUACGUUUCGGUUUCCAGUCAAAUUCUCCGUUUGGGCGGUCGGAAGAUCCGAUCGACCGCCCCACUCGUCGGACCUGAAAAAAAUUGGAGUAUGAUUGCCAGCACAUUGCAUUACUUGAUCUCCUCCUUGAAGUUAGAACCAGUUGAUUCUACGAUGGCGGACCAGUAUCUAGUUUUUCCUGGCACAGAUGAGCCUAGCACUUCCAGACAGCAUGGCACCGUGGUCGUACCUCAAUUAACCAACAGAAGCGGAAAAUUGUUGCAGAUUUUGAAUUCAAUACCUGAUGUUGAAUCAGACGAGGAAUCAGAUGGGAGGAAGUUAGUGCUCUCGCUCCAGGGCAAAGGUCUGGGUCCUCUUCUCAUCUGCCGAAAACUUCAUCUCAUUCAAAAUGACGGAUGUUCUAACCAAUCUAGAUCAACUCUCAUUUUCUUUAGAACGUCUAAUUGUUCAGAAGCUUGAAGAAAUUGACGUUAGGGAA